CACGCUGUAAACGAUGAAUACUAGGUGUUGGAAGCAUUAGUUUCCAGUGCCGCAGCUAACGCAUUAAGUAUUCCACCUGGGGAGUNGCAACGCGAAGAACCUUACCUAGGCUUGAAAAGCAACUGACCGGAUGUGAAAGCAUCUUUCCAGCAAUGGCAGUUGUACAGGUGC
Molecule: ribosomal RNA, 171 nt
Filed under: uncultured bacterium
Lineage: Bacteria
Description: partial 16S ribosomal RNA
Rfam family: Bacterial small subunit ribosomal RNA (bases 1-77)
Source: RNAcentral